CACGUAGGGCGCAAGCGUUGUCCGGAAUCAUUGGGUGUAAAGAGCUCGUAGGCGGUUGUCGCGUCUGCUGUGAAAACUGGGGGCUUAACCCCCAGCUGGCAGUGGAUACGGGCAGACUAGAGGUAGGUAGGGGAGAAUGGAAUUCCCGGUGUAGCGGUGAAAUGCGCAGAUAUCGGGAGGAACACCGGUGGCGAAGGCGGUUCUCUGGGCCUUACCUGACGCUGAGGAGCGAAAGCGUGGGGAGC
RNAcentral lists this ribosomal RNA (245 nucleotides) under uncultured Actinoallomurus sp. RNAcentral describes it as "partial 16S ribosomal RNA". It matches the Rfam family "Bacterial small subunit ribosomal RNA", at positions 524 to 769 of the family's 1533-position model. Lineage: Bacteria; Bacillati; Actinomycetota; Actinomycetes; Streptosporangiales; Thermomonosporaceae. The record is from RNAcentral.